GACGAACGCUGGCGGCGUGCUUAACACAUGCAAGUCGAACGAAGUGGCGAACGGGUGAGUAACGCGUAAUCAACCUGCUCUUCAGAGGGGGACAACAGUUGGAAACGACUGCUAAUACCGCAUACUGAAGGACUGGUAUGCGUCGGAUUGGCUAGUUGGAGGGGUAAUGGCCCACCAAGGGGAUGAUCAGUAGCCGGUCUGGGAGGGAGAACGGCCACAUUGGGACUGAGGCACGGCCCAGACUCCUACGGGGGGGAGCAGUGGGGAAUCUUCCGCAAUGGGCGAAAGUCUGACGGAGCAACGCCGCGUGAGUGAUGACGGCCUUCGGGUUGUAAAGCUCUGUUAAUCGGGACGCGGUACCGGAAGAGAAAGCCACGGCUAACUACGUGCCAGCAGCCGCGGUAAUAC
Molecule: ribosomal RNA, 408 nt
Filed under: uncultured bacterium
Lineage: Bacteria
Description: partial 16S ribosomal RNA
Rfam family: Bacterial small subunit ribosomal RNA
Source: RNAcentral